Molecule: ribosomal RNA, 125 nt
Filed under: Auriscalpium sp.
Lineage: Eukaryota; Fungi; Basidiomycota; Agaricomycetes; Russulales; Auriscalpiaceae
Description: partial small subunit ribosomal RNA
Rfam family: Eukaryotic small subunit ribosomal RNA
Source: RNAcentral
CCUUUGUACACACCGCCCGUCGCUACUACCGAUUGAAUGGCUUAGUGAGACCUCCGGAUCGGCUUUGAGGAGUCGGCGACGACACCUCGUCGCUGAGAAGUUGGUCAAACUUGGUCAUUUAGAGG